UGGGGAAUAUUGCACAAUGGGCGCAAGCCUGAUGCAGCAACGCCGCGUGAGGGACGACGGCCUUCGGGUUGUAAACCUCUUUUGGCAGGGAAGAAGCGAAAGUGACGGUACCUGCAGAAAAAGCCCCGGCUAACUACGUGCCAGCAGCCGCGGUAAUACGUAGGGGGCAAGCGUUGUCCGGAUUUACUGGGUGUAAAGGGCGCGCAGGCGGGAUAAAAAGUCAGUGGUGAAAUCCUACAGCUUAACUGUAGAACUGCCUUUGAUACUUUUAUUCUUGAGUUCGGGAGAGAGAGACGGAAUUCCAGGUGUAGUGGUGAAAUACGUAGAUAUCUGGAAGAACACCAGUUGCGAAGGCGGUCUCUUGGUCCGACACUGACGCUGAGGCGCGAAAGCGUGGGGAGCAAACA
This 407-nucleotide ribosomal RNA is filed under the name uncultured bacterium. RNAcentral's name for it is "bacterial SSU rRNA". It matches the Rfam family "Bacterial small subunit ribosomal RNA", at positions 355 to 774 of the family's 1533-position model. The record is from RNAcentral.